This 254-nucleotide ribosomal RNA is filed under the name uncultured bacterium. RNAcentral's name for it is "partial 16S ribosomal RNA". It matches the Rfam family "Bacterial small subunit ribosomal RNA", at positions 524 to 776 of the family's 1533-position model. The record is from RNAcentral.
UACGGGGGGAGCAAGCGUUGCUCGGAUUUACUGGGCGUAAAGGGCGCGUAGGCGGUCGUGACAAGUCACUUGUGAAAUCUCCGGGCUUAACUCGGAACGGUCAAGUGAUACUGUCGGACUAGAGUACAGAAGGGGCAACUGGAAUUCUCGGUGUAGCGGUGAAAUGCGUAGAUAUCGAGAGGAACACCUGCGGCGAAGGCGGGUCUCUGGGCAACAACUGACGCUGAGGAGCGAAAGCGUGGGGAGCGAACAGG